ACUUACGACCAUACCACCCUGAACACGCCCAAUCUCGGGGCUAAACAGAGUCGGGCCUGUUUGGUAUUUAGAUGUGAAAACCCAUGGGAAUACCAGGCACUUUAAGCA
This 108-nucleotide ribosomal RNA is filed under the name Labrus bergylta (ballan wrasse). The record is from RNAcentral. Lineage: Eukaryota; Metazoa; Chordata; Actinopteri; Labriformes; Labridae.